This is an RNA transcript of Nasonia vitripennis (jewel wasp), 3386 nucleotides long. It is a transcript of the gene named type 1 phosphatidylinositol 4,5-bisphosphate 4-phosphatase, with no coding region annotated. Lineage: Eukaryota; Metazoa; Arthropoda; Insecta; Hymenoptera; Pteromalidae. The transcript is spliced from 7 exons. The record is from RefSeq and is a predicted model, not a curated record.
GUCGAGGAAACGACACGAACAUAUGUGCUGCGAUCGCGUAUACGAGCCUGCAUUAUCAUGUCGACAUUCGCGGUGUGAUGUGAUUCAUAGCUCCUCGGAUCAUCGUGUUUUAAAGACACACUUAUAUAUACAUAUACCUACGCAAGCGCAGUGCAGUGGUGUGUGCUAUUUCUCUCUCCCUCUCUCUCUCGGCGAAGAGACGAGAACUAAGAAGAUAAUAAGCACAUCAGGAACAUCGCGGAGGAAGAAUGACGUAGAGAAUCAUUCUCUACGGUCAACUGUAGUAUUAUCAAAUCAAGUCCAGCCGCAUAGAAGAAACAGGCAUAGGCACGCAUAGAUAUAUCUAUAUACAUACGUGCAUUCCUAUUUCCCAGUCAGCAGCGGGUAUAGUGUCCGGGAAUCACGCGAGGUGUCGGUUGCUGUUUGUGUGUUUUCGUCUCUCGGCUUUCUCUCUCGCUCCGUCUCUGUCUCUCAUUCCGCUCCUCCCCUCAUCGUCAUCUGCGCCUCUGUCAGUGUAGGUAUUAUCGUCGUCGCGAGCCUACCACGGGAGUAGGCAGCUUUUCCAGGAGGAGGACGUCGACGUAGACAUGGGCGACGGCAAGGAGAACGAGCGUCAACCGCUGCUCAAGAACGAAAAUGUCAACUACAGCAGCAGCGAAGUGGCAGGAGCAGAAGCACAGCAGCAAGUUAAUACGGUUGCUCCAAUUGGUCCUGAUGAAUUGCCACCAUCGUAUCAAGCUAGUCAAGGUAGUAUGCACAUGGUUACCUGCCGAGUAUGUCAAGCUAUGAUUGACAUAUCUGGCAAGAGAGAUCAGCACGUUGUCAAGUGCAGUCAAUGCAAUGAAGCUACUCCGAUCAAGAAUGCUCCUCCUGGUAAGAAGUAUGUGCGUUGUCCAUGCAAUUGCCUGCUCAUAUGCAAAAGUUCAUCACAGAGGAUUGCCUGCCCAAGGCCUAAUUGUAAAAGAAUUAUUAAUCUGGCACCAAGUCCGGUGACACCACCAGUCUUGUCAAUGCCUGGAAUGUGUCGAGUCUGCUGUGCUCAUUGCCAUGAUACAUUUUUGUUUAAUACAUUGAACAAUGCUUUGGCUCGUUGUCCACAUUGUCGAAAAGUCUCAUCUGUUGGACCAGAUUUUGCAAGGGGACGUGGAAUCCUUUUUAUUAUUCUUGGAGUUAUCUGUUUAGUCCUUGGUAUUGCUGUAACGGUUGGAACAUAUGCACUUGUAAAAGCAAAUGGAGGAAUUUAUGUUGCUUAUGUUGGUGCAUUCCUUUUAGCGCUUCUUUUCCUUGGAAGAAGCCUCUAUUAUUGUACAAUGAAGAUUAGUCUCAUAGAGGGUCCCAUGUAGUUUUAUUAGAAAUGUCGAAGGCUGUUAAAUCGCAGAAUAAUUUUUAUCAUUAUAAUUGCAUAAUCGAUUUAGAUAAGUUUACACGAUUGAACAUGCUGCUUCUUCGAUUCCUUAAGAUUUAGUAAAUAUUUGAAUUUUUCUCAAGAUUUCUUUUUAAUGAAUGAACUAUAUAAAAUCAAGCCAUCGUUCCGACUGAACAGGCUCUGAAAUCGAAGUAGACAUUCAAUUUCUUAUCGAUGUAACUUUAGAUGACACUCGAACUAUAAAGCGAGGCUACAAUGAACAAAAUAAAAAGGAAAAAACAGUUGGAACUCGGCACCCGACGUGUGAUCCUUUAAUGCAUUAAAAUGUACAAAUCUACACUUUUUGUUCGCUUACUUACAACGUAUUCAGCAAUUCACGAUUUAAAGAAGACAUUAUCAAAAUUAUUUUCUGCAUCAAAUAUCAAUUGCAUACUAAAAACGUAAUAUAUUAGUGAUGUUUUUCUUUUUUUUUAAGAUUCGAGUACAUUUUGAUUAUUUCUUUUUUAAAUCUAUUAAGAAGAAUCGAUUAGAACCAAAAAUUGUAUAUUUGAAAGUUUCACGCCUGAGCGCAAUAUAUAUGUAUGCGAACGAGUAUAUAAAGUGAAAGAUAUACCGCAUGUUAAAGUACGGAUAACAGAGGAGAUUGAAUGAGAAAAAAAAGCUCUUCCACGUGAUCGCGAAACUGUGACGCGAUCUUAGACAGAGGACAGAGUUGCACUGAAAUUAUGUAGCCAAUUUUUUUAUAUUUUUAUUGUUUAAUUUAUACGUAAAAGUAUCUCUCUUCUUAACAUUUUCAUUUGAAAUUAUUUGAAAAAUGCUUUUGGGUAUUGAGAUAAUAUUUUCAGUAAAAAUUAUAAAGAAAAAAAUAAAUAAACGCGUAAUUUUUUAAUUUAUUUUCUUAACUAUUCCAAUUGUACAUUUGCUAUUCUUUAUUAUUGCAGUACCGAGGAUCUAUUUUUCAGAAUGGAUAAGGCCAUUGACAGAAUUGAAAAAUGAUUUAGGUUAUUCCUAAACCGUUUUAAAAGUUUUAUAAAUGUAAUGAUCUCUCUGUAUAUAUUAUGAAAUUGUAAAUUAAAACAAAAAUAAAUUUAUUUUUUAAUUUUUAUCAAAAUUACCUUUUUUUCCACGUAAUGGGUUUUUCGACAAACGAUCUGGUAAAUAUGAAUUAAGCAAACAUCUGACCAGUCUUGAUAAUUUUUACUGAUAACGUUUUCUUAAUUUCCUUCUAAACACUGAUUUUGUAGAAUAAAGUGACUCUGUUCUCUUGUAAUUUAUCAUUCAAGAAACAGGUGACGUAUUUCCCAUUGACGUGGGUUUCAAGCAUUAUAAAAGCAUUUGUUUUUAACACAUAAUCGAAAAGUUACACCUGCUACAUUUUACUCGAAUUCUUUGUCUUUUGCAAAGUAUUUCUCCAGUAUAAACAAUAUCACUCAUAUUUUUUUCCAGCUAUAGUACGUUUAUAUAUUAACAGGCAGGGUAGGAUAGCAUGACAAAAACAAUAAGAUUUUAUAUAUAACAGUAAAUAACGAUAAAAACUAACGUAAAAGUGUAAUUUGUUUUGAGAGAUACAAGAAAAGGAGAAAAAUGUUUUGCACUUUACUUUGUAUAUAAUCAGGAAAAAGUGAUGGGUCCUAAAUAAUGCGAUUCAACUUUUUAAAGUCUGACGGAGUAAUAAUUACUAGGAUUCUACGGAUAAAAGUGUACCGCAUUGAGUAUUUCAACGGGAUUUAAUGUAUAAAGUAUGUGCAUUGAUGAAAUUUCGUUGGAAAAAUUAUUAAUGUGCAAAAUAACGCAGAAUUACUUUUUAUUGCGCAUUCUGUCUUAUUGUUAUUUUGUAUAAAAUUGAAUUGAAACUUCAUGUUAAAUUAAUUAAUGAGUUAUUGAAAAGUAAUUCUGCGCCUUGAUCUGCACACCUAUACUCAAAUCUUGCAUGCGUCUUUUGAUUCAUGCAAAAUUGGUUUUGUAAAAUCUGUAUUCGUCUGCAUAUUAUCUGUAACGAAAAUAAAAAUUAUGAAUCUUA